This 661-nucleotide long non-coding RNA is filed under the name Homo sapiens (human). RNAcentral describes it as "non-protein coding lnc-C1QTNF8-5:1". Lineage: Eukaryota; Metazoa; Chordata; Mammalia; Primates; Hominidae. The record is from RNAcentral.
GCCGGCCCCACAGACCAUUCCAGUUGUCCCCCAAAGCUGUGCGACGUGGCCUGAAACACAGGUGCCUGCACGUCCUCCAGCCUGGCCACCGCUGGCUCCCAGUGGCCUAGCACCUGCUGGACAAGUGGCUCCAGAACCAUGACGCCGGCCACCAUCACCUUCGAACCGUUGGCAUAGCAGCAGCAUGAGAGCCAGCAGUGGGCAGCGGAGACCGAGGCCGCGGCACAGUGCACACAAAGGGACUCCACACACACAGGGUGGGCGGCAGCCGUAGGACACGCGCGGCUGGAAGUUGGAGCCUGAGUGGGAGGUGGUAGCACCGCCGCUGAGACCCGCCUGCUGCUGGCCCCGGAGCCGCAGCUGUGUCAUGCCUCGGACACCAUGACCGUGCCCUUCUCCAUCGCCACCAACAACCUGCAGUACCACGAGCAAUGCUGGCACCCUUACCUCGUGGGCGACUACGUGGAGACGGAGCUGCUGAAAGAAGCUGAGCUCAUCGGGAGCAUUCCGGAGCUGCUGGAAAGGCCCACCGUGCAAGCCGGAAACAGAUCCAGAGGGCUGAGCCUGCACAAGAAGACCUGAAGUCGGGGCUGGUCGGACAAUGUGGCGCCCACAGCAUGGAGGAGCUCUGCGCGCUCCCAGCCAGAGCACGAGGCGCAGG